Long non-coding RNA from Neodiprion fabricii, 315 nucleotides. RefSeq lists it as uncharacterized. The transcript is spliced from 3 exons. NCBI's taxonomy places the organism in Eukaryota, Metazoa, Arthropoda, Insecta, Hymenoptera, Diprionidae. The record is from RefSeq and is a predicted model, not a curated record.
CUGUGAAUUUCGGAGUGAGUCACCUAUAGAGACGAUCUCGGUUACGCGAUGGACUCGUUUUUCGAUCCAACAACGACGAAAGACGAUCGGGAAAUCCAAGAAGUUAUGAUUAAUCUGUGGGUAUCUUUCGCACAGAACGGCAAACCUGAUCUGAGUGUCGGAUGGAACGAGUUGAGCAAAAGUGACGACAGUUUUAGUUACCUGAGAAUAGCAGGACCGAAAGAUCUUUACAUGGAAAACAACGAAAACUUUGGGCAAAAGAAUUUUUGGCUCGGUAUAGAUUUUCGUGAAAAUACUUGGUAAAAUAGCUACACU